UGCUAGGCUUGACCGGGACGUUCGGCGUGUCCUUGUACACCGAAAUCGUCGACAGCGGGGGUGACAGCAGGAGACGUCGUAAACGGGGCGGUGAAGGCCCUUUCGUCGACAGUGAGGCUCUGUCCUUCGGGGCUGGUGGCAGUAUCGUGGUGCCGCUGGAGGGCGGCAUCCCUUGCUCUGAUCAUGGGGAAAGGGUCAGGCCCUGACGGGAGCAGCCUAACCGUGGACUACCGACGCUCGAAGGGUCACGGGGCUGAGAAGGCGAUCGGACAACCUUCAUCGGACCGAGCGGCAACUCCUGCGGCCUAGCA
Molecule: signal recognition particle RNA, 311 nt
Filed under: Methanomassiliicoccales archaeon
Lineage: Archaea; Methanobacteriati; Thermoplasmatota; Thermoplasmata; Methanomassiliicoccales
Description: signal recognition particle sRNA
Rfam family: Archaeal signal recognition particle RNA
Source: RNAcentral